AACGAACGCUGGCGGCAUGCCUAACACAUGCAAGUCGAACGAGACCUUCGGGUCUAGUGGCGCACGGGUGCGUAACGCGUGGGAACCUGCCCUUAGGUUCGGAAUAACUCCCCGACAGGGGUGCUAAUACCGGAUAAUGUCUUCGGACCAAAGAUUUAUCGCCUUUGGAUGGGCCCGCGUUGGAUUAGCUAGUUGGUAGGGUAAAAGCCUACCAAGGCGACGAUCCAUAGCUGGUCUGAGAGGAUGAUCAGCCACACUGGGACUGAGACACGGCGCAGACUCCUACGGGAGGCAGCAGUGGGGAAUAUUGGACAAUGGGCGAAAGCCUGAUCCAGCAAUGCCGCGUGAGUGAUGAAGGCCUUAGGGUUGUAAAGCUCUUUUACCCGGGAUGAUAAUGACAGUACCGGGAGAAUAAGCUCCGGCUAACUCCGUG
This 433-nucleotide ribosomal RNA is filed under the name uncultured bacterium. Its description in RNAcentral is "partial 16S ribosomal RNA". It matches the Rfam family "Bacterial small subunit ribosomal RNA", at positions 29 to 507 of the family's 1533-position model. The record is from RNAcentral.